UUUUACUAGUUUCAGUUUGUAUUGUGUAUUAUUCUCAAUUUAGAACCGUAAUAAAAAGGAUUGACUAACCUGAAAUCGAACAUUAAAAUUGUCCUCAAUACGAACACUAACUCAUAACACCUGCACUAACCCUGAUCACCACUUCAGGACCAGAAAACAUUUCAGUUCCAAACAAUUACUAAUACACAGCAAAGCUCAAGUGAGAGUCACUGUGGAGUAUUUCUCCCGCAUCUAAGAUUGUGCUUCGGACCGCAUCCAAAAAUGGACCAGGCAACCGGCUGGCAUUAAGUCACUCACUUAUGCUAUAGCCUCUGGUCAUGUAUGCUGUCUACUCGCUAUAUUUCUCUUGUAUUUACGAUACUGGGUUCUGUUCCUCGGAGCUGGUUGAUUUUCCAUUAGUCUCUCUAUCUUUCGUCAUCCUUGUUGAGUCCAAUCACCCCCAGGCUCCGUAAGCCACUACACCCAACUCCAGUACUUCCUUCUCGGAACAUCGAUUCUCUGGAAUCUCCCCUUUCUUUUCUGAAGAUGUUAGCCUGCAACAGUUUAAACGGAACAUUAAAGUCAUCCAGCUAACUGGUCUCGGAUGGCCAGAUGAGAUCAUGACGGACCCUGUUCCUACAGUUCAAGAGAAGAAAAAGAAAAUCAAUUCAACAAAGUUAUUGCUGAUUACAACCGAACUUUACUGUCCACCUGAUUGCUUGCGACAUACAUUUGAAAUGAUACGACGAAACCUACAGGAAAUCAACCUGACCGAAAAUGAAUGGAAAAAGAUCAACAGCUUCCACAUAACGAUGACAUGUGAGAUUACAUAUCACAAUAAUAUUAAUUUCACAUUCAAUAGUUACCCUUGAACUAAAACUGACAUGUUUAUUAAAUGUGUUAUCAUUUAGUUCUGUCUGGAGAUUAUUUAUCGAUUGGUUUAAUCUUGCCUGAGUGACAGUAGUGUCAGUGUUGGACAUGUAAAUAGUGUGUAGUAGCAGUAGACAAGGAAGGUGUAGAAAAAGUGUGUGAUUGUUUAGUCCCAGCUGAUCGAUGAGUAAAGGCAUUCCCAACAUGACCGUCAUGCAGUUUUAGGAAUAUGUAACACUAUAUCCAGUGUGACGUGCUUCGUUUAAGACAAUAUACAAUGAUUUGAGGGAAUUUUGGCUGCUAUUUUAGUAGCUUAAAUGACCGUGUAGAGGCUCCAACUAUUUGGUGUGUUUAAGAAGAGAAAUAUACAGAAGGGAGGUAUGUGUAGAGGACAGCUUUGUAUCUUGAAAAGAGAAUUUUUAAAAGAAGCCAUGAUUAUUCUACUGUGAACUUACUGUGAAGUUUCCCUGGUCCAUUGAAGAAAAUAUCGACAUUACUAUUUGAGUGAAAAUUUUUGGAUAUUUGUUUAUUGGAUAACUUUAUUUCUGCAACAUAAAUAUCAAUGUCACAGUAUUGUAAAUGUUAAAAUUUCUGUAAAAAAGUACCAGAUUGAUGGAAAACAAACAGUUUGUUACAAAAAGACACUCGCACAUCUGUGAAAUCUGUGGUAAAGCAUUCUCAAGGAAACAUCAUGUAACACGACAUAAAGUGGUUCACACUGGAGAGAGACCAUACAAUUGUGAAAUUUGUGGAACAGCAUUUUUUACUAAUAGUCACUUGAAUAGACACAAACUAAUUCACACUGGAGAUAAAUUGUACAGUUGUAAUAUCUGUGGUAAAGAAUUCUCAAAGUCUAGUCUAGACAGACAUAAAAUACUUCAUACUUACAGAAAUGCUGCUUCUUGUGAGAUUUGUGGAAAGGCAUUUUUACGUAAGAGCCGCUUUGAAAAUCAUAUGCUUAGUCACUUGGGAGUGAAACCAUUCCAGUGUAAUAUAUGUGGGUGGACAUUUACUGAAAAGAAUCACUUAACAAGACAUAAAUUGAUACACACUGGAGAAAAGCCAUAUCAAUGUGAAAUUUGUGAAAAAUCAUUUUCACGAAAGGAUAAGUUAAAUGAACAUAAACUGACACACUCUACAGAGCCAGCAUUCCAAUGUCCUAUUUGUGAUAAAACAUUUUCAUCACGUGCUAGUUUAACUAGACAUGAAAUAUCCCAUACAAUUAAGAAACAAUACAAAUGUGAAACAUGUAACAGAGCAUUUUCACGUAAGGAGAAGCUCAAUAAACAUAAAUUGAAACAUUCUAUGGAGCCAGCAUCAUGAUGUAAUAUUUGUGAUAAAGUGUUUACAACUCAUAACAGUUUAACUAGAUAUGAAAUAUUUCAUACAACUGAAACACAAUAAAUGUGAAUAAGUGCUAUUAAAGCUGAAUGAAAUCAUACACACUAAAAUUAGACCAUACAUCUGCAAUAUUUGUGUCCUAUCAUUUGGAUACAGAGGGUUUAAGUCAGCAUAAUUUGGUUUGAAAGUAAAUUGUUUGAUGAUGAUGAUGAUGAUGAUAAUGUUGCCAACAACUUUUCCAAAAAGAUUUAUGUCGUGCAAAUGUCAUCUUCAUGUGCAUAUUCAUUAUUUUAAUACUCAUGUGGAUUGGCAGGUUUCCACGAUAACAUAUUUUCAAGCAUUUCUGUUCUCUAUUUUGGUUAGGUUUAACUCUUAAGCCCUGGUUUAUAUACCAAAUUCCAAUUUGCUGUUCUGGCUCCCUAUACUUGUUACAACUAAUCUUGUUGCAUUUUCAUGUCCACAUAUAUUAUUUACAUACAUAUAUGGCUCAGGCAUACUUGUUUAAGAAAUUUACUUCAUAUCCACAUAGUUUUGGGUUCAAUGCUACUGUUCAUCACUUUGGAAAAGUUGUCUAGGUGGAACAGUGUGUCAAGUUGUGCCCCUUCGCACCAAAAGUUUUAAACUUGCCAUUGGAUAAACAGAUAUUGAUAAAAUAAGUAUAAGAUAUAUAAAAGUUACUGGGAUUGAUAUGAUCAACCAACCCUUGACCUGCUGAAGUUGCCAUUUCCUCUCUGGUGCCUUAUUCUCCGCCCCCAUAAAGGAUGAAAAGUCCUUCUUGAGCCAUAGACGCACAAGACUGGUUUCCUGAUUCUGUGGUGUAUAUAUUCCCUGCUCUGGACAGGACAUCAGUCAAAAGCAGGAUUACUCAUUUUUACCAACUGAGUGGACUGGAACAAUGUGAAAUGCAUCACCUGGUUCAGAAAUUGAAACCACAGCCUUACAGAGUGCAACACCUUAAUCACUUAGCCAUGUGCCUCUACAAAUAUGUAUUAUAUGUGUUUGGUCUGGCAUUGAACUCAGAAGUCUAUUUCAUAAAUUCAACACACUCUAUGCCGUGGACAAGUAAUACCAAUAUUUGUCAAGUUUUGUGAUGUUUUAGAUAUUUAAUUAGCCAUAGACAUAUUGAUCAAGUACCAAAUGCUAUGUUGGUAUUUGGCUGUGUUUAUGCAGCCAAAUACCAAUGAUGUGUAAUUAAAAAUGCAGACGUGUCUUGCUACCUCAAAAUAAUGAACUGUAGUGGAAUUAGCUAGUACUGUGAAUUUCAGAGUUACUACUAAUCAAACGCUAGUCCCCACCUCCCUUCCUAGUGGUUCUUCAGUUGUUUACAGAUCCAUUUUUAUACUAUUUGUUUGCAUAUUGAAUCCUGAAGAGGAGACAACAUUUUAUAGUAAAAAGAAUCUUGUAUUUUCUGACAUAUUUACAUGAUAAAGCAGUAUAGUUCAUGCAUAUUGUCAAAGCAUAUGACAUUUACUCUAGAUGUAUACAAAUGUCACAGAGUUCAGUAGUUUGUAUACUACAAUGAUGGGUGCAAUUUGUCCAUGCCAGCAUGUUUUACUCUUUAUGGGUGCAGUACAUCAAGUUGCAUGUAGAUUAGUAAAAUUAACUGUUGUAAUCAACAGUAGCUAUAUUAAAUAGAUGAUAAUUUUGUUGCUCUGCAGGUCUGGUUCAAUGUCAUUUAAAAUUGCCUGCUAUCAUCUGGUGUCUUAUCGAAAGUUUUCUCUCCUUAGCUUCAUACAUCAUAGCAACUUGAUGUAAAACAUUCCAGAAAGUAGUUAGUGAUUCCAUAUAUUGUUUUUUGUUUGCAUACUAUAUAAAUACUCAGUUAUUUCACGAACACAUUUUUGAAAAAUACUCCUGAUUGUUGACUAAAGUUAGAAUAAAUAAGUUAACAAGGGAUAUAACAGUUUUGUUUUCACGUUUUUUAUUCCAGGGAAACAGGAACACUGUUGCUCAUCCUUCUGAAAUAAACUCCCUCUUGUUACACUCUACUGUCUUAAAGAAAGAAAAACACAUAAGAUAUCUGAAAGAUGUUAUGAAAUAGUCACAGCUGGAAUGCUUUUGAUUAUAGGUUUGCUUAAUCUGAGCUGAUUUUAGACAAAACAACUUCAUAUUGGCUAUUCCUGUACCAGUAUAUUGCAAUAAUGUCAUGACUGGUUGAAGUAUUCACUCUGGUCACUCAAGUUCCAUAUCUAAUACUCACAAACUACAGCGAUGAUUACUUCUUUUGAGGUUGUUAACUUUCAUCAUUUUAUAAUGAACAGUUAUGUAGUUCUUGGUGAUAUAUGCUUCAUGAACUGAACUCCACAUUUUGAAUUCUAUAUUUUGAACUACAAGAAUUCCUCAAUUAAGCAGACGUAUAGUAAAAGAAUAUUUCUGAUUAAUCUGUCUUUUUUAAAGCAUAAUGUACCUAGUAUUAACCAAACAAUAGGGUGUUAUUUAAGGGCUGUUUUUUCCAGCAGGUCACCCAACCACAUUGAGACUAUCAUCUGUUUGUAAAGAUAUGUGGAAUUCUGUUUUAUCUGUUUUGUUUAAAUUUAUUCAGGAUAGUUGUUCAGCUGAUAUUCUUUAGAUGCAUGAGGUCUGUCCAAAAAGAAACCGAGCUUAGUAAAAAACGUAUUGCUUUUCUAACAAUUUAAUUAUUUUUCCUUCAAAAUACUUCCUUCCACUUUUUAUACACCAUUUCCAAUACUUUUUUUUUCUAUUUUUGGAAUGAAUUUUCAGAGGUAUUGAUUGUCUAUGUAUAGCAAACUCAUGAUGAACAACUCUUUUCCAAUUAUAAAGGGCAAUUAACAUCGCUCACACAUUUGAGCGACUCUGAUGUACUUAUUUCGGUUGUAGCCAUGACAAUCCAACCCACUAUGAUGGCUUUUUCUUUCAACAUUGUAGCUGUACAUACACAUUUCAUUGCUUGUUAUGAAAUUUUUCAGAAAGUUUCCAUCAGCAUCUAAACAAUCAUACAAAUUCUGACAUACUGUGAUUUAGUUCUCUUUCUUUGUAGAUGCUACACAAAUUUUAUGACAUUAUAAUGCAUCUUCAAUUUUUCUUUUAAAAAUCAUAUGACAUAAGCUAUUAAUGAUGCCUACUUCUUAGAAAAGUUAUGCAGUUAGUUAGGUGACAAUUUUUAUUAAUCACAGCAUACACUUUUGAAAUGCAAUCAUCAUCUGUUAUCAUGGAAGGCCAUCCAGGUUUAGGAUUGUCUUCUAUAGUUCUUCCUAAUUUGAAGUUCUUGUACUAUUGUGUAUGGCUGAAAUAAUUUCGUUAUAGGCUCCCUUUAUAACAUUAGAAGAAUCUGUACUUAUUUAGCUUGUAUUUAAAACAGAAUUUCAUGCAAACAGGCUGCUCUCCCACAUCUUUCAUUGUUUGACCUGUGACAAAUGUCCAGGUGUGCUAAACAUGUUCAUUCUGGCACAUGUAACUGACAUGGCAUGCUGUGGCUAUUAUUAGAUUGAAGGUCAAGGCCAGCUAUAUAGAGUACUGCAGUUAUAAGGACACUGUACCUAUUGGUUUAAAAGUUUGGUUUAUUUUGAACAGACUUCGUAUAUAGCUUAAUUCAAUAACAGAACCCAUCUUUGUCUUUCACAUUCUCUUUUCUGUGAUAUUUUUUUAUAAAAUGAAUUAAUAAAUCAGUAUUUCCUUUAAA
Octopus bimaculoides (California two-spot octopus) is the source of this 5830-nucleotide unclassified non-coding RNA. NCBI's taxonomy places the organism in Eukaryota, Metazoa, Mollusca, Cephalopoda, Octopoda, Octopodidae. The record is from RefSeq and is a predicted model, not a curated record.